AUUCACCUCGCGGCCACAGGAGCUCAGCGCCGGCGCCGCGCCGCCCAGCCCCGCCGAGAGGGGCGCACUCGCCGCCGCGGGGCCCGCCGCCGCUCACCGCAGCCCCCUCCUGGCGACCCGCAAGUGAUGCUGUGAUUGUUGCCUGCGGACUGGGAAGCACGAUGGCUCCAAAAGGCCAGCGGGGCCGAGAAGCAGGGACAGAGACCAGCAUUUAAGGGAUCUCUGGUGGGGGCCUCCCUGGAGUUCUCCACAUGUAAAUAUAGCGAAAAAAGAAAACACUACGUUACUAGAAUAAACACGUCCUAAAAUUUCUGUGCAAAAACACCUUUUUGAACAGCAAAGAUUUCACCCACCAAAACAAGGAAGCAAGAAGCUUCCACAGUGUGCAGGAUCCGAAACAGGACCGGCCCGGCGUUGGGUGAGAGUGGGGGAGGGGUUGUCGGCUUCUCCAUCCAGCUUGCCAUGUUCUGUCGUCGGUUUCACAUUUUCAGAGAGACUUUACCAGAUGCAGGAAAUGAGGAUGAAGGCAACUCUGGAAGGAUGCAAAGAAGGGAGAGCAAGCACUGUACCUACUGUCUGCUGUCUAAGAGGGCUGGUCUCAUAACUAAAAGGUCCAGUCCCUGAGAUCUUGUGUGCAACCGUCAGAAAUAGUUCAGGACAUCAAAUUGCACAGAGAAGAUUCAGAUGAAGGGAAACAAGAACUCUGUGGAAAACUGUUGGGGACAGUGGCACGAGUUGUCUUGCAAGGUGAUGUCUGUCCCGUGGAGGGACACAAGAGCG
This 780-nucleotide long non-coding RNA is filed under the name Homo sapiens (human). RNAcentral's name for it is "HSALNT0349019". The record is from RNAcentral. Lineage: Eukaryota; Metazoa; Chordata; Mammalia; Primates; Hominidae.